RNAcentral lists this transfer RNA (57 nucleotides) under Dendrobium gratiosissimum. Its description in RNAcentral is "partial tRNA-His". The record is from RNAcentral. Lineage: Eukaryota; Viridiplantae; Streptophyta; Magnoliopsida; Asparagales; Orchidaceae.
GGCGGAUGUAGCCAAGUGGAUCAAGGCAGUGGAUUUUUUAAUCCACCCAUGCCGCAA